CCACUGGGCUAUAGAAUGAUGUCAAGGGCUGGAGAGGGAGGCUACAGAGUGGGUCUAGGUCCAGGUACAGUCUCAGAACCACACUGCAAAACUGGCUUAGUCAGGUAGCUGCUGUAUCUGCUGCUUCCACUGUGAACUCAAAAACCACAUUGCCUGUGCUGCAGGCCGGAAAGCUGCUGAACCAGGAAGCUGUGCUGAUGCUGCUGACUGCCCCUGAGGUUAGAGAUUGACUAGACAUAGUGCCACUGUCAUCCCUGCUGGAGAAGGUCCGAAGCACCUCCACCUCUGUGCUUCCAGAGGGGCACUGUGGUGGCCACUUAAAAUGCUCAGGCUAUACCAUGCACUAGAGCAUCUACCUGGGCAAGGGAUAUGCUGUAUGACACUCUCCUGAUGCUGGGCAUGGCUGUGAGCCAAAGCACCCAGGCAGCCCUGCCAUCAGAAGGGUAAACCACGGACACCUGAUGCCUUCCUGAAGGAAGAGCACUACGCCUGCCAAACCAUCAAGCGUUGAUGCUCCAGCGCCUUCUACCCGUGGUUCUCCAGCCUCAGCAGAAGAGAGAGAAAUUGAUGACCCUGUCGUUGUAGCAUCCCCAUCACCCAGCAAUUAAUUUUAGUUCAAUGCUUCAAACGCUCUUCAGGCGCAGUGUGCGUUCAGCUGUGUCAGCUAAUGCAAAUGGGGGAUCUCAGAAGUCUUAAUGAAGUAACUAUCCCUGAACACUGGGAUCAAUACUCAGCAUCCAGCUGUCAAAUCAACACCAAGAAUGUCCAGUGCUAGGAGACUCAUAAGUUGGAGAGAAACGGCCUGAUUUAUAGAAACUGAGCGAGACUCCGGACCACCUGAUGCAGAGAAACCUGUGACCUGAAAAAGUCUAUUUGUGUUUCCUCUAGGAAUCUCGGCCAAGAAGACAGGGACAAGCUCCCAACUCUGACUACCCCUUUUACAGGGAAAAAAAAAAAAUCCCGUGCCUUCUUUGCAGCAAGUGACAAAUCCUUGUCAUAUCGAGAUGGCUUUUCCUCCUCCUCUUCAAACAUCUUUUAGCAGCAACAGCAGCUCAAGUAACUGGAAUUAUUUCAGAGUUAAAAUGCAGGCUUUGUAGACCCUCUUAGACAGACAGAUUCAAUUUCAAAGGAAACUUCUUUGGCUGGGUACUCAGUGAGUGUUACACAGGGAUUUGGGGAGUUAAUAUUCACUGUUUCUGUUGUUGGAGAAAAGGAAAGCAGAGUUGCUCUUUCUCAUUACUCUCCCCAACGCACAUCUGUUUCCUCUCGUAUCUUGGAAUUAGGAAGAUGGAGGAGACUUAAGUGGUGACCCACCUAGCCUCCUGAUGCAUGCUGGGCUCACUUUAAAACUCCCAAAACAGAUGGCAGUUGAUCACGGUUUUAAAGAUCCCAGCAUAGACUUUCUGCAGCCUCCCUUGUUAGCCACUAUCAGCGCUUAACAUUCUGUCAUCUGAAUAACUCCUUAAAAAUGAUAGCAAUGGUAGUAGAAAUUUAAAAGGAACCUCCCAAAAAACAUGCAAAAGCUUACCACCCCAGUAAAUCACCCGCAACAAUGUCGCAACAGUUUAAAUUUACUGCAGAGAGAGCUGAAGUUUAGGAGACACAGCUUUAUAAUAUUUUUGAGAGAUAGUUGAGUGCAAAUGAGUCCUGUUCCUCUUGCAUCAGGGCCUGCUCCACUGAGUCAUCCUGCCUUCAGAAGCUUCCAGCUAAGUGGCAGGCCCCGGCCAUAGGCUCCCUGUGUCCCCAGCCUCCAGAGAACACACAAUGUUCUCAUCGCCCUUAGCUCCAUUCCAGAAGGGGCCUGCAGUUCUGCAGCUUAUCAGGGGUCUACUGGGAAGUGAGAUGUCACUGUCCCUUUCUGGCCCUGCAUUGUCUGUGAGUGGCUCUCCUGGAUUAAGAGUUGGCAAAGUAUGGCCAGUGGCCAGGACUGGCCUGCUGCCUGUUUUUGUUUAACCCGUGAGCUAAGAAUAGUUUUUACCUAUUUUAAGUAGUUGAAAAAAAAAUCAAGAGAAGAAUACUAUUUCGUGAUAUGUGAAAAAUCACAUGAAAUUCAAAUGUAAGUGUCCAUAAAUAAAGUCUUACUGGAAGACAGCCUUGCUCAUUUAUUUCUGUCUCAUUCGCUACUGUCUGCGGCUGCCUUCACGCUACAAUGGCAGUACUGAGUAGUUGUGACGGGCACUGUAUGACAGCAAAUCCUAAAGUAUUUGCCAUCUGGCCCUUCACAGAAAAAGUUUGCUGACCCUGGCUUUCGAGCCUCUCAUCACUUUGGGAUUCAUCUCUUUACUUUCCCCAGAGUGAGGGAGGCAGUAACGUUCCUCGUGAGUGCUUAGUCCUUGCUCCCAAGGCAAUAAACCCCCCAAAACCCCUCUCUUUCUGCAGUCUUCUUGUUGGCUUGAUAGUGGUAGGGCUGGUUCAGCCAAGGUCACAGUUGGAGGGCAGGAAGGGGGUACAGCGAAGGACGACGGGGGUGUCUUCUCUAGUCCUGUUUGCAGCAAUCUUUAGAAUGCAAAAUAAUUAAGAAGAAACUGCUGUUUUUUGGCUGUGGGAUGCAAUUCGAAUUCUGGAAAAUUAGAAUCAACAGAACGUGGGAUGUGGGAGUCCAGGACAACUCCCCUGUUUUGGCUGUGUUUGGUGCCAUGUGUGGAGGUGGGAGAGAUGGGAGAAAGAAGAGGUUUGGGCAGGGGGAGGGAAGAAUCAAGAUUCUGCUUUGAAUGGACGAAGGUUGUGGUUUGUUGAGAGGACAACUAGAUAACUGGCCACUUGAAGAUGGGAUGGAAGUCUGAAUCUGCAAGGAGUCACAGAUGAAUGGUAUGGAAAGCUGUGGUAGUGGAUGAGAUCAUACGAACGGUGGGUGCAGAUGGAAACGAGAAGCCAUCUAAGGACUCGUAAUGGGCUCCUCAACACUUGGAAGUUGGGUAGAGGAAGAAGACCGCAUGAGGGCAGGAUCCUGAAUGUUCCACUCACUGCUAUAUCCCUAGCACUGGUUACAGUGCUUGGCACACACUGCAUGCUCAAUAAAUUAUUUGUUGCCCAUAUAAGUGAACGUGAAUUCCAAUGGACUAGCAUCUUCCACUCUCAACAUAAACAAAAACAACAGCAACAUUGCAAUUCCCUAUCUUCUCUUCCCUGAUCUCUUUCUCAUUCUGUCUCUCCUUCCCUUUUCCUCUGCCUUCCUGUUGCCUUCUCUGAUAUGAGUUAAAUUUAUCAGGGGUGUCCAGGUACCCGGCUAUUCUUGAGCAUUCCUUAUCUGGCUACAACUCUGGGUGACACUGGUUACUAGUUUAGUGAACGAGCCAACAUAUAUUCUUCUUUUUGUCUACAUAGUUUUUUUUAAUGUUAAACUUGUUCCUAUUGCACCUCACUCUUUAUGAACUGUCAGUUAAUGCUAUUUUGGCUCUAUUCCUACCUUAGACGGAUGCUUGACAACUUGGUGUCAUCUGACCUUAAUUAGGACAUUCUUGGUUAAGACAUUGUUGGUGUAAAGAGAGAGA
This 3491-nucleotide long non-coding RNA is filed under the name Homo sapiens (human). RNAcentral describes it as "HSALNT0372440". The record is from RNAcentral. Lineage: Eukaryota; Metazoa; Chordata; Mammalia; Primates; Hominidae.